UGGCGGUAGCUUACCAUGCUAGUCGAGCGGGCGCUUUCGGGCGUCAGCGGCGGACGGGUUAGUAACGCGUGGGAACGUGCCUUUUGCUCUGGAAUAGCCCUGGGAAACUGGGGGUAAUACCGGAUGUGCCCUGAGGGGGAAAGAUUUAUCGGCAAGAGAUCGGCCCGCGUCUGAUUAGGUAGUUGGUGUGGUAAUGGCGCACCAAGCCGACGAUCGGUAGCUGGUUUGAGAGGAUGAUCAGCAACACUGGGACUGAGACACGGCCCAGACUCCUACGGGAGGCAGCAGUGGGGAAUCUUAGACAAUGGGCGCAAGCCUGAUCUAGCCAUGCCGCGUGGGUGAUGAAGGCCUUAGGGUCGUAAAGCCCUUUCGCCGGGGAAGAUAAUGACGGUACCCGGUAAAGAAACCCCGGCUAACUCCGUGCCAGCAGCCGCGGUAAU
This 440-nucleotide ribosomal RNA is filed under the name uncultured bacterium. RNAcentral describes it as "bacterial SSU rRNA". It matches the Rfam family "Bacterial small subunit ribosomal RNA", at positions 37 to 524 of the family's 1533-position model. The record is from RNAcentral.